Molecule: ribosomal RNA, 253 nt
Filed under: uncultured bacterium
Lineage: Bacteria
Description: partial 16S ribosomal RNA
Rfam family: Bacterial small subunit ribosomal RNA
Source: RNAcentral
UACGUAGGAGGCGAGCGUUGUCCGGAAUUAUUGGGCGUAAAGAGCUCGUAGGCGGCUUGUCGCGUCGGCUGUGAAAACCUGGGGCUCAACCCCGGGCCUGCAGCCGAUACGGGCAAGCUAGGAUUCGGUAGGGGAGACUGGAAUUCCUGGUGUAGCGGUGAAAUGCGCAGAUAUCAGGAGGAACACCGGUGGCGAAGGCGGGUCUCUGGGCCGAUAUUGACGCUGAGGAGCGAAAGCGUGGGGAGCGAACAGG